This 76-nucleotide transfer RNA is filed under the name Collinsella intestinalis. RNAcentral describes it as "tRNA-Arg(cct)". It matches the Rfam family "tRNA". From Rfam's summary of the family: Transfer RNA (tRNA) molecules are approximately 80 nucleotides in length. Lineage: Bacteria; Bacillati; Actinomycetota; Coriobacteriia; Coriobacteriales; Coriobacteriaceae. The record is from RNAcentral.
GCGCUCGUAGCUCAAUUGGAUGAGCACCAAGCUCCUACCUUGGAUGAUGCGGGUUCGAGUCCCGCCGAGCGCACCA